RNAcentral lists this small nucleolar RNA (86 nucleotides) under Allomyces macrogynus ATCC 38327. The record is from RNAcentral. Lineage: Eukaryota; Fungi; Blastocladiomycota; Blastocladiomycetes; Blastocladiales; Blastocladiaceae.
UGCCAAGGAAGACAAGAUUUAUCCGCGCUACCGAAUGCACCAUGUGGAUAACGAUAAAUAAUGGUUGAAUUUCUUCGGCUGAGGUG